GAUGAAGAACGUAGCGAAAUGCGAUAAGUAAUGUGAAUUGCAGAAUUCCGUGAAUCAUCGAAUCUUUGAACGCACAUUGCGCCCUUUGGUAUUCCAAAGGGCAUGCCUGUUCGAGCGUCAUUUGUACCCUCAAGCUUUGCUUGGUGUUGGGCGUCUUGUCUCUAGCUUUGCUGGAGACUCGCCUUAAAGUAAUUGGCAGCCGGCCUACUGGUUUCGGAGCGCAGCACAAGUCGCACUCUCUAUCAGCAAAGGUCUAGCAUCCAUUAAGCCUUUUUUUCAACUUUUGACCUCGGAUCAGGUAGGGAUACCCGCUGAACUUAAGCAUAUCAAUAAGCGGAGGA
This 341-nucleotide unclassified non-coding RNA is filed under the name soil metagenome. RNAcentral's name for it is "partial contains 5.8S ribosomal RNA, internal transcribed spacer 2, and large subunit ribosomal RNA". The stretch from base 1 to 120 matches the Rfam family "5.8S ribosomal RNA", at positions 35 to 154 of the family's 154-position model. The record is from RNAcentral.